This 238-nucleotide ribosomal RNA is filed under the name uncultured fungus. RNAcentral describes it as "partial small subunit ribosomal RNA". It matches the Rfam family "Eukaryotic small subunit ribosomal RNA", at positions 640 to 864 of the family's 1831-position model. The record is from RNAcentral. Lineage: Eukaryota; Fungi.
GAGUGUUAGGUUAUGUUGGUUCUUACUAAUAAGUGAGACACCACAUUGCCCACUCCCUCCUUUCGAGUUCCGAUUUAUCUUCGUUAACUCGGGGAUAGAUAUUGGGGGCUCGGAUUCUUUACUUUGAAAAAAUUAGAGUGUUCAAAGCGGGUAGUUUUUAUCUACCAUUGAAUACAUUAGCAUGGGAUAAUAAAAUAGGACCCCGUUUCUAUUUUCGUUGGUUUCUAGAGACGGAGUA